UAAAUAUUAUGAUUUAUUAAAUUUAAUUUAAAUUUAUUUUACAUAUAAAUUUUAGUAUGAAUUUUAUAUUAUUUUAAAAAUAUUAUAUAAUAAAAGUAGUAAUUAAUAUUAAAAAUUUAAGAAAUUAAGAUUUAGUAAUAUUUUUAUUAUAGACAAAUUUUGUGCCAGCAGUUGCGGUUAUACAAAAUAUAAUUUAAAUUUUAUUAGUUAAUAAUUAAUAAUAAUAAAUUAAAAAUUAAAUAUUAAAUUAUUAGGUGAAAUUUUAAUUUAAUGUAAAUUUUAAAUUAAUAUUAUGUUUUAUAAGAUUUUAUAAAAAACUAGGAUUAGAUACCCUAUUAUUAAAAAUUAAAAAUAAAAACUAAAAUAGUAUAUAAUAAUUUAUUGAAACUUAAAUAAGUUGGCGGUAUUUUAGUUCAUUUAGAGGAAUCUGUCUAAUAAUUGAUAAUCCACGAAUAAAUUUACUUAAUAUUUAAUUUUGUAUAUCGUUGUUAAAAAAAUAUUUUUUAAUAAAAAUAAUAUUUAAAAAUUAAAAUAAAAAAUUAAUUCAGAUCAAGAUGCAGAUAAUAAUUAAGAAUAUGAUGGAUUACAAUAAUAAAUAUAAUUAAAUGAAUAAUAUUUUGAAAUAAAUAUUUGAAGGUGGAUUUAAAUGUAAUUUUAUUUAAUUUAAUAAAAUGAUUAUAAAUUAAAAUAUGUACAUAUUGCCCGUCGCUUUCAUUAAUAAAUUGAAAUAAGUCGUAACAAAGUAGAGGUACUGGAAAGUGUUUCUAGAAAGAA
This 774-nucleotide ribosomal RNA is filed under the name Graphium eurous. Its description in RNAcentral is "12S ribosomal RNA". Lineage: Eukaryota; Metazoa; Arthropoda; Insecta; Lepidoptera; Papilionidae. The record is from RNAcentral.